This 867-nucleotide ribosomal RNA is filed under the name Ehrlichia canis. RNAcentral's name for it is "bacterial SSU rRNA". The stretch from base 461 to 867 matches the Rfam family "Bacterial small subunit ribosomal RNA", at positions 1 to 440 of the family's 1533-position model. The record is from RNAcentral. Lineage: Bacteria; Pseudomonadati; Pseudomonadota; Alphaproteobacteria; Rickettsiales; Anaplasmataceae.
GAAUUCAUUAUUUUAAUUUUAAUUUAUUCAUAAAAUAUAAAUUGAUUAUUUUAAUUAAUAAGUUUAAUUUAAAAUUUUACAUAUUAAAUAAAAUAAUCAUUUAUAUUUGAAUAAAUUUCAAAAUUUAAUUUCAAAGAAUUUUUAAAAUUAUUAUAAUAUUAUUUAAAAAUUUAUUUUUUUAAAUAAUUAAAUUUUAAUUUUAAUAUAAAUUAAAAAAAAUAAAUAAUCUUAAAUAAUUACCUUUAUCAUUAACUAUUAAAUAAUUUAUUUAUUUUUAUUAAUUGUAUUUUUAUAUUUAAUUAAAAUACAUUUUGUAAUAAUAGCAUAAUACCAAAAAUAAUUGUAAAAAAUAGAUAAUUAAUUAAUUUAUUAAUUAAUUAUAAUAAUUUUUAACCAUUUCCCAGUAUUAAUAGUGGCCAUAAAUACAAAAUUAAAAUUAGAAUUAACAAUAUAAAAAAUCUAAGUGCAAAUGUUAAAUAAGAUAACUGGUCGUGGUCCCAUAACAGUUCAAUUAUUUAAGCCUCUGGCUAUAGGAAAUUGUUAGUGGCAGACGGGUGAGUAAUGCGUAGGAAUCUACCUAGUAGUACGGAAUAGCCAUUAGAAAUGGUGGGUAAUACUGUAUAAUCCCCGAGGGGGAAAGAUUUAUCGCUAUUAGAUGAGCCUACGUUAGAUUAGCUAGUUGGUGAGGUAAUGGCUUACCAAGGCUAUGAUCUAUAGCUGGUCUGAGAGGACGAUCAGCCACACUGGAACUGAGAUACGGUCCAGACUCCUACGGGAGGCAGCAGUGGGGAAUAUUGGACAAUGGGCGAAAGCCUGAUCCAGCUAUGCCGCGUGAGUGAAGAAGGCCUUCGGGUUUACUUCAACCGA